ACACACCAAAAUUGAUAGAACAUCUCUUAGAGAGAAAAGAGUGUAAAACUCUAGUUUGAGUGUCAAAGAGAGUGGAGAGUUAGAGAGAAAACUCAGUUGAGCAAAUAGUGAGUUAGAGAAGUGUAUUUUUCAGUUGAGAGUUUGUAAUCUCCAUAUUAUUUGCAUAGUGAAUUUCUGAGAUCUCUCUCCGUGGUUUUUUCCAAUUGGGUUUCCACGUAAAUUUCUGGUGUUAUUAUUUUAUAUCUCAUACAGUAGUGUGUUUGUAUUUAUCUUAGUGUGUUUGUAUUUAUCUAGUGUAUUUGUGUGAGCCUUAUUUCUCAACAGAUAAUAUGUAAAUUGAUUGUUAAACAUAUUAGUAUGUUGAAUUACGAAAAGAACGCAAUUCGUAUGGUAUAAUUUGGUUAAGAAACGAAGAUUUGGUGAUUGAAUUCGCUAAACAUGUUGGAAAAUGAAGAAAACUAGUAAAAACAUGGUUUUAAUCUUUUAAAAUUGAUUGUGUAAGAUGUUUACAUUAUUAGAAUCAUGAUAUGCAUUCU
Molecule: long non-coding RNA, 536 nt
Filed under: Panax ginseng (ginseng)
Lineage: Eukaryota; Viridiplantae; Streptophyta; Magnoliopsida; Apiales; Araliaceae
Description: long non-coding RNA (PGIN_LNC001957)
Source: RNAcentral